Molecule: non-coding RNA, 21 nt
Filed under: Arabidopsis thaliana (thale cress)
Lineage: Eukaryota; Viridiplantae; Streptophyta; Magnoliopsida; Brassicales; Brassicaceae
Also listed under: 2 other names
Source: RNAcentral
AGACCCUGUUGAGCUUGACUC